UUUUCUCUCACUUCCGCAGAACUCUCUAAAAAGGAAUUUAUUUUUCUCCUUCAAAACAACAAUGGUGAUUUUCUCUUUCAAAGCAACAAUGACGAAUUUUCAACACGUCUAGACAUCACAGUUGUGCAAGGCAUAGGUAAUUGACACUUAAGAUUAUGAGUGAUUCGCCAUCAUCAGUUGCCGGUGUUCCUUGUACUCCUACUACUCCAAUUACUCCAGAUAUCUCUAUUGGGUCUACUAGCGGCUCAUCGACAUCUAGUCGGUUGGUCAUCUCAGUUGUAGGAGAAAAGUUUGUUCCUAAUGGUCAUUCUAUUUCGAAGAGCAUCACAGAAACAUUCAAGGAACGACAAGAUGCUACUGGUUAGUCAUGGAAGGAUGUUAGUGAAUCCACUCGUAAAUUCUAUUGGCAUGAAUUUGUG
Long non-coding RNA from Lycium barbarum (goji berry), 419 nucleotides. RefSeq lists it as uncharacterized. NCBI's taxonomy places the organism in Eukaryota, Viridiplantae, Streptophyta, Magnoliopsida, Solanales, Solanaceae. The record is from RefSeq and is a predicted model, not a curated record. The transcript is spliced from 3 exons.